GGAGGAAAGUAGGGGAUCGAAAGACCUCAUGCUUUUGGAGCGGCCGAUGUCUGAUUAGCUAGUUGGUAAGGUAAUGGCUUACCAAGGCAACGAUCAGUAGUUGGUCUGAGAGGACGACCAGCCACACUGGGACUGAGACACGGCCCAGACUCCUACGGGAGGCAGCAGUGGGGAAUUUUGGACAAUGGGCGCAAGCCUGAUCCAGCAAUGCCGCGUGAGUGAAGAAGGCCUUCGGGUUGUAAAGCUCUUUCAGUUGAGAAGAAAAGAUUCUGGCUAAUACCCAGAAUUCAUGACGGUAUCGACAGAAGAAGCACCGGCUAACUACGUGCCAGCAGCCGCGGUAAUACGUAGGGUGCAAGCGUUAAUCGGAAUUACUGGGCGUAGAGGGUGCGCAGGUGGUUUUGUAAGUCAGAUGUGAAAUCCCCCGGCUUAACCUGGGAAUUGCGUUUGAAACUACAAGGCUAGAAGGGCGAAUUCCGUUAUAACCCA
This 489-nucleotide ribosomal RNA is filed under the name uncultured bacterium. RNAcentral describes it as "bacterial SSU rRNA". It matches the Rfam family "Bacterial small subunit ribosomal RNA", at positions 198 to 670 of the family's 1533-position model. The record is from RNAcentral.